ACAUGUGAGGGCGAUCUGGCUGCGACAUCUGUCACCCCAUUCAUUGUUCACCUGGGUUGAUUCGGCUGAUCUGGAUGGCUAGGCGGUGUCCCCUUCCUCUCUCACCGCUGCAUGUGCAUCCCUCCGGAAGCUACGCACUCUGUCGAAGUGGAAGGCCUUCCCCCAAAUAGAGACGGACUGGUCUUUGGUCGAGGGUAUAGGAGUAGCUGCACUCCCCUGCUAGAACCUCCAAACAAGCUCUCAAGGACCAAGUGCAAGGACCCAGAUUCAAGUGCCCACUUCCCACCUGCCUGGGGGGGCACUUCAG
Molecule: non-coding RNA, 307 nt
Organism: Erinaceus europaeus (western European hedgehog)
Lineage: Eukaryota; Metazoa; Chordata; Mammalia; Eulipotyphla; Erinaceidae
Source: Rfam